This is a long non-coding RNA of Clupea harengus (Atlantic herring), 923 nucleotides long. RefSeq lists it as uncharacterized. NCBI's taxonomy places the organism in Eukaryota, Metazoa, Chordata, Actinopteri, Clupeiformes, Clupeidae. The transcript is spliced from 4 exons. The record is from RefSeq and is a predicted model, not a curated record.
ACAUCCAUACCUCUAACCAUAUAGGAGCAUAACUUUAAACGGGGCACAACACAUAUUCUACAUUCUAUGGCCACAACAUGAUCUGUUUCCACCAUAGAUGUACGUCAGAUGAGUAGAAUCUUGAACUCUUGAACGGGAGCCAGCCCCUGCGUUUAUUUCAGGCGCAGUCAUGACAGAAACCCACAUGCGCCGAUUCAUUCACCUAGUUUCGUUUUCGAUUGGAUUACGUGUUACAGCUCUCUCUUCGCAUUUCCCUUAACUUCGUGGUUAUGGCUGAUAUUGAGUUGGAAUUGACUUGUAACAUAUGUUUGGAUCUUUUAACCGAACCUCACCAGUAUCCUUGUGGACACAGUUUCUGUCUUCAGUGUAUAGAUCAGCUAUGGAGUCGGCAAUCAUUUAACUGCCCAGACUGUCGAAGAACCUGUCCAGAUAGAAGAGAGAUUGUGAGAAACUUCAGACUCCAGAAUAUUGUAGAAGCAUAUCGACAAAAUGGAAAUACCCUGAACAUACGCCAACCUUUAACAGCAGGAGUGCAGCCAGGAAGACAAGACUAUUAUGGGACUCUUCUAGUCAUUUUACUGCUGCUGUUCAUUUCUGUGUUCUCUUUGUUACGGCUACAAAAUACAGACCAGAUCCAUCAAGACUCUCAGUCUUUGUCAGACUCGUCUCAACCUGAACAUGCAGACCAGUUUCAGGCAGCUGACCCUCCAGGACUUCUGUUCCUUCUCCUGGCCCCUGUACGAUGGCUCUGGCUGCUGGUGGAGUGUGUGUUCAUGUGUGUGUGGUGGCUCAUCUCCUCUCUCCUAUGGCUGGUUUACCAGUGUGUGUGGUUGGUGUUUGAGUUGGUUAGACUUGUGUUUGUGAGUAUUUGGGAGCUUUUUUGUUUGGUUUGUGGGCUCCUGAUCCAGUCCUUUAACAUUGCU